UUUUAUUUUUAAUUAAUGAAAUAUCUUUCCUUUUUAUAAAAAAAUAAGUUGUUAUAAUUUAUAUAUUAUUUCCUUGUCAAUCUUGACAAAUCUUAUAGAGUUAUAGAUUCUGAAGCAAACAAACAUAUAACAAGCUCUUCAAAUAAAUUAUCUGCCUAUGCUCCAUGCUCAGGAAAAGAAAAGUUCCAUAAAGCAGACGAUUCCUUAACCACAAUUUCUUAUAUAAGUUUUGUUACGUGCACUGCCAAUAUAAAUAUCACUUCCGUUCUUAAUGAUACCAACUUUUUUAUUAAUCUUUUAUCUAUAAAUUCUAUUACCCAAGCCCUUAAUUGCAAAAUUGAAUUU
Molecule: unclassified non-coding RNA, 345 nt
Filed under: Hevea brasiliensis (rubber tree)
Lineage: Eukaryota; Viridiplantae; Streptophyta; Magnoliopsida; Malpighiales; Euphorbiaceae
Source: RNAcentral